AGUGAACGCUGGCGGUAGGCCUAACACAUGCAAGUCGAACGGCAGCACAGUAAGAGCUUGCUCUUACGGGUGGCGAGUGGCGGACGGGUGAGGAAUACAUCGGAAUCUACUUUUUCGUGGGGGAUAACGUAGGGAAACUUACGCUAAUACCGCAUACGACCUACGGGUGAAAGCAGGGGAUCCUCGGACCUUGCGCGAUUGAAUGAGCCGAUGUCGGAUUAGCUAGUUGGCGGGGUAAAGGCCCACCAAGGCGACGAUCCGUAGCUGGUCUGAGAGGAUGAUCAGCCACACUGGAACUGAGACACGGUCCAGACUCCUACGGGAGGCAGCAGUGGGGAAUAUUGGACAAUGGGCGCAAGCCUGAUCCAGCCAUACCGCGUGGGUGAAGAAGGCCUUCGGGUUGUAAAGCCCUUUUGUCGGGAAAGAAAAGCAGCAGGUUAAUACCCCGCUGUUCUGACGGUACCCAAAGAAUAAGCACCGGCUAACUUCGUG
Molecule: ribosomal RNA, 492 nt
Filed under: uncultured bacterium
Lineage: Bacteria
Description: partial 16S ribosomal RNA
Rfam family: Bacterial small subunit ribosomal RNA
Source: RNAcentral